UGAUUAUCAGAGGCAAAUAUCUCAGAGAGUUAUAAUUAGAAGAAAUUGAGCAGAGGGUGGGGGAAGGGGAUAUUGUUUCAGAAAUAAUUCUGAGUCACUGGAUCAGGUUUCUCAAUGUGGAACAUGCCAUGAAAAUAUUCUCUUACAUCAAGAAUUAGAAUCACUUCCUGCAACUCCUAUGUGUCUUUAUAAUUAGUAACUGUUUGGUGAGUAAUUGUGGUGAUGAAUUGUUUUUCAUUCUAUGGCGAGGAUGAAAAGGACACUUUCUUUGCUUCUUCACCUCUGCCCCACAAUGGAGAGCGGCAGCGCCUCUGAAGGCAAGGGGAGUGGGGUUUCCGAAUCCCCAGGAGAAAACACAGGUCUCUGCUGCGGCGGUCUGGUCCAGAGAACCUACAUCCGGAGGCUUUCAUUUCCUCAUCUGUACCAUCUCCCAAACAGACAUUUCUGAGAGUGAAAAGAGGCACCAUUAGAAUUAGCCUGGGUUAGCCAGAAAGGAGGUGGUCUUGGGCAAAACUAGAUGUGAUGCGAUCCCAGGGGACUCUAGGGUCUCUCCCAGCUGAGACAUCCUAAAUUAUGAAAAUGCAAGGCCCAUUCUGUAUCCCACAAGGGCCUGAGUAAGCUCCGUGAGCCAUCAUAAGCUGCCAACCUUUAGCUGCACAAGAGAAAUGAACUCUGUAGGGGACAUAUCCAAUUCCGAUUUAAAUUUAAUCUGUGUGGUCAAUUAUUUGUGUAAUAAUGGAGGAAAAUAAAGUCUAUUUCACAAAAGUCAACUCUGUAAUUUUAGAGCCUUUAAGACAUUUGAAAAUGCCUUGUGCAAUUAUGUGGCGCUUAAUACUCAGAUAAUGGAACAAUGAAAGAUGUAUGUUUGCAUUUUGUAAAAUUAAACUGUAUGCAGUUAUUUAUCUUUUACCUUAAUUGUUUGAGCUUGUUUCUAAUGUAAACUGUUGUAAUUUUAAAUAAAUAUAAUAGAAAAAACUUUCAUAGGUAUCAAGAAUCCAGAGUAAAUUUACUUUGCAAAUAGGCUUUGUAGGUAUGUUUUAUGCUGAGGAUCUUAAACUGAC
Molecule: long non-coding RNA, 1061 nt
Filed under: Homo sapiens (human)
Lineage: Eukaryota; Metazoa; Chordata; Mammalia; Primates; Hominidae
Description: HSALNT0265462
Source: RNAcentral